UGAUGACGAGACGCUAAGGCGUUGAAGCAGUGUAUGUCAGACUUCCAAGAAAAGCUCGCAAUGUCACAAUAAAAAAUGCCUGUACCAUAACCGACACAGGUGGGUAGGUAGAGUAUACUAAGGGGCGCGAGAUAACUCUCUCUAAGGAACUCGGCAAAAUGACUCCGUAACUUCGGGAGAAGGAGUGCCUUAUUUAUAAGGUUGCAAUAACAAGAUCCAAGCAACUGUUUUACAAAAACACAGGUCUCCGCUAAGUCGUAAGACGAUGUAUGGGGGCUGACGCCUGCCCAGUGCCAGAAGGUUAAAGAAGUUGGUUAGUGUAUGCGAAGCUGAUGACUGAAGCCCUGGUGAACGGCGGCCGUAACAAUAACGGUCCUAAGGUAGCGAAAUUCCUUGUCGGGUAAGUUCCGACCCGCACGAAAGGCGUAAUGAUUUGGAUACUGUCUCGGAGAGAGGCUCGGUGAAAUAGACUUGUCUGUGAAGAUGCGGACUACCUGCACCAGGACAGAAAGACCCUAUGAAGCUUUACUGUAACUUGAAAUUGGAAUUGGACUUUGCUUGCGCAGUAUAGGUGGGAAGCGUUGAAAAUAUUCUUGCGGGAGUAUUGGAGCUAUCAGUGAGAUACCACUCUUGUAAUGUUAGAUUUCUAACUUUGAACCAUAAUCUGGUCAAAGAACAGUUUCAGGUGGGCAGUUUGACUGGGGCGGUCGCCUCCCAAAUGGUAACGGAGGCGUACAAAGGUUUCCUCUGAACGGAUAGAAAUCGUAUCUAGAGUGUAAAGGCAUAAGGAAGCUUGACUGUGAGACCUACAAGUCGAGCAGGGACGAAAGUCGGUCUUAGUGAUCUGACGGUACUGAGUGGAAAGGCCGUCACUCAACGGAUAAAAGUUACUCUAGGGAUAACAGGCUGAUCUCCCCCAAGAGUUCACAUCGACGGGGAGGUUUGGCACCUCGAUGUCGGCUCAUCGCAUCCUGGGGCGGUAGUACGUCCCAAGGGUUGGGCUGUUCGCCCAUGAAAGCGGUACGCGAGCUGGGUUCAGAACGUCGUGAGACAGUUCGGUCCAUAUCCGGUGUAGGCGCUAGAAUAUUGAGAGGAGCCUUCUUUAGUACGAGAGGACCGAGAAGGACACACCGCUGGUGUACCAGUUAUCGUGCCAACGGUAAACGCUGGGUAGCUAUGUGUGGAGUGGAUAACCGCUGAAAGCAUCUAAGUGGGAAGCCCACCUCGAGAUGAGUAUUCUCAUC
RNAcentral lists this ribosomal RNA (1244 nucleotides) under metagenome. RNAcentral describes it as "bacterial LSU rRNA". It matches the Rfam family "Bacterial large subunit ribosomal RNA", at positions 1564 to 2818 of the family's 2925-position model. The record is from RNAcentral.